ACAGUUCUCAGCGCAUUCCAAACUCAAGUAAAGCGAGACUAACUUGCACUUCACGCGCUUAGGCCUUCCAUCUGCUUAUAUAAAGCAACCCAGAAAACAAAGUUUGAGCGUACUAGUAAGCUUCUUGCCCUCCAUGUAUCUCAGGUUUCUCCUCCAAGCUUUCUUUCUUUUUUUAUGUCUUCCAUGUUCUGUAAAGUACAGUAAUGCUGAACAAGCUGAACCACAACGCUCUGAUAGUCACAUUGUUAAAGUCACUUCUUUUUUGCCUCCGACUGUUUGCAACCGGAAUUCCACCAAAGUUCCAAGCGAAGCAUCUCUGGAGGUUGUAAGCAGAUAUGGUCCAUGCUCCUACAUUAAUAAGGGCAAAGUAAAAACUCCGAAUUACUUGGAAAUUCUGCACAAUGACCACGCCCGAGCCAAAUACAUUCAAUCCAGACUCUUCAAGCUCAAA
Molecule: long non-coding RNA, 451 nt
Organism: Mangifera indica (mango)
Lineage: Eukaryota; Viridiplantae; Streptophyta; Magnoliopsida; Sapindales; Anacardiaceae
Exons: 2
Source: RefSeq, a predicted model, not a curated record